RNAcentral lists this ribosomal RNA (466 nucleotides) under uncultured bacterium. RNAcentral describes it as "partial 16S ribosomal RNA". It matches the Rfam family "Bacterial small subunit ribosomal RNA", at positions 28 to 507 of the family's 1533-position model. The record is from RNAcentral.
GAUGAACGCUGGCGGCGUGCUUAACACAUGCAAGUCGAACGAAAAAGCCCAGCUUUCUUGGGGGGUUAGUGGCGAACACGUGAGUAUCACAUGAGUAACCUGCGCUUUACUCUUUGAUAUGCCUUGAGAACAGUGUCGAUUACUGGGUAUGACUUCUCAUCCCACGUGGUGGGGGGGGGAAAUUUUGCGGUUUUGGAUGGACUCGCGGCGUAUCAGCUUGUUGGUGUGGUAGUGGCUCACCAAGGCGCCGACGGGUAGCCGGCCUGAGAGGGUGACCGGCCACAUUGGGACUGAGAUACGGCCCAGACUCCUACGGGAGGCAGCAGUGGGGAAUAUUGCACAAUGGGCGGAAGCCUGAUGCAGCAACGCCGCGUGAGGGAUGACGGCCUUCGGGUUGUAAACCGCUUUCGCCUGUGAAGAAGCGUGAGUGACGGUAAUGGGUAAAGAAGCACCGGCUAACUACGUG